RNAcentral lists this ribosomal RNA (429 nucleotides) under Fusobacteriota bacterium. RNAcentral describes it as "Fusobacteria bacterium partial 16S ribosomal RNA". It matches the Rfam family "Bacterial small subunit ribosomal RNA", at positions 355 to 776 of the family's 1533-position model. Lineage: Bacteria; Fusobacteriati; Fusobacteriota. The record is from RNAcentral.
UGGGGAAUCUUCCGCAAUGGACGAAAGUCUGACGGAGCAACGCCGCGUGAGUGAAGACGGCCUUCGGGUUGUAAAGCUCUGUGAUCCGGGACGAAAGAGCCUGAGGUGAAUAGCCUAAGGAAGUGACGGUACCGGAAAAGCAAGCCACGGCUAACUACGUGCCAGCAGCCGCGGUAAUACGUAGGUGGCAAGCGUUGUCCGGAAUUAUUGGGCGUAAAGCGCGCGCAGGCGGCUUCCUAAGUCCAUCUUAAAAGUGCGGGGCUUAACCCCGUGAUGGGAUGGAAACUGGGAAGCUGGAGUAUCGGAGAGGAAAGUGGAAUUCCUAGUGUAGCGGUGAAAUGCGUAGAGAUUAGGAAGAACACCGGUGGCGAAGGCGACUUUCUGGACGAAAACUGACGCGGAGGCGCGAAAGCGUGGGGAGCAAACAGG